CCUACGGGGGGCAGCAGUGAGGAAUAUUGGUCAAUGGGCGAGAGCCUGAACCAGCCAAGUCGCGUGAAGGAUGACGGCCCUACGGGUUGUAAACUUCUUUUGUCAGGGAGCAAUUGGGUCCACGCGUGGGCUUAGCGAGAGUACCUGAAGAAAAAGCAUCGGCUAACCCCGUGCCAGCAGCCGCGGUAUUACGGAGGAUGCGAGCGUUAUCCGGAUUUAUUGGGUUUAAAGGUUGCGUAGGCGGAAUAUAAAGUCAGCGGUAAAAAUUCGGGGCUAAACCCCGUCGUGCCGUUGAAACUGAUGGUCUUGAGUGGGCGAGAAGGAUGCGGAAUGCGUGGUGUAGCGGUGAAAUGCAUAGAUAUCACGCAGAACUCCGAUUGCGAAGGCAGCAUACCGGCGCCCAACUGACGCUGAAGCACGAAAGCGUGGGUAUCGAACAGGAUUAGAUACCCGGGUAGUC
Molecule: ribosomal RNA, 460 nt
Filed under: uncultured bacterium
Lineage: Bacteria
Description: partial 16S ribosomal RNA
Rfam family: Bacterial small subunit ribosomal RNA
Source: RNAcentral